This 148-nucleotide unclassified non-coding RNA is filed under the name soil metagenome. Its description in RNAcentral is "partial internal transcribed spacer 1". The record is from RNAcentral.
CAGAGUUUACAAACUCCCAACCCCUUGUGAACAUACCUAUCAUGUUGCCUCGGCGGAUCAGCCGCGCCCGUCAAGGGAGCCGGACCGCCGCAGGACUGCACAACUCUGUUUUACUGUACCAUUCUGAGUAACUAAAUUCAAUAAAUUA